RNAcentral lists this ribosomal RNA (526 nucleotides) under uncultured eukaryote. Its description in RNAcentral is "SSU rRNA". It matches the Rfam family "Eukaryotic small subunit ribosomal RNA", at positions 75 to 604 of the family's 1831-position model. The record is from RNAcentral.
UAUACAGCGAAACUGCGAAUGGCUCAUUAUAUAAGUUAUCGUUUAAUUGAUAGUGCCUUACUACUUGGAUAACCGUGGUAAUUCUAGAGCUAAUACAUGCUAAAAACCCCGACUUCGGAAGGGGUGUAUUUAUUAGAUACAAAACCAAUGCCCUUCGGGGCUCUUUGGUGAUUCAUGAUAACUAUACGAAUCGCACGGCCUUGCGCCGGCGAUGGUUCAUUCAAAUUUCUUCCCUAUCAACUUUCGAUGUUUGGGUAUUGGCCAAACAUGGUUGCAACGGGUAACGGAGGGUUAGGGCUCGACCCCGGAGAAGGAGCCUGAGAAACGGCUACUACAUCCAAGGAAGGCAGCAGGCGCGCAAAUUACCCAAUCCCGACUCGGGGAGGUAGUGACAAUAAAUACUGAUACAGGGCCCUUUCGGGCCUUGUAAUUGGAAUGAGUACAAUUUAAAUCCCUUAACGAGGAACAAUUGGAGGGCAAGUCUGGUGCCAGCAGCCGCGGUAAUUCCAGCUCCAAUAGCGUAUAU